UGAUCGACUUCUCUUGCUGAAUUGCCCAU
This 29-nucleotide non-coding RNA is filed under the name Bombyx mori (domestic silkworm). Lineage: Eukaryota; Metazoa; Arthropoda; Insecta; Lepidoptera; Bombycidae. The record is from RNAcentral.